GGCCUAUUAGCUCAGUUGGUUAGAGCGUCGUACUAAUAACGUGAAUGUCGAAGGUUCGAGACUUGCAUGUGCCA
This 74-nucleotide transfer RNA is filed under the name Vitis vinifera (wine grape). It matches the Rfam family "tRNA". Rfam says of the family: Transfer RNA (tRNA) molecules are approximately 80 nucleotides in length. Their secondary structure includes four short double-helical elements and three loops (D, anti-codon, and T loops). The record is from Rfam by way of RNAcentral. Lineage: Eukaryota; Viridiplantae; Streptophyta; Magnoliopsida; Vitales; Vitaceae.